UACGAAGGGUGCAAACGUUAUUCGGAAUCACUGGGCGUAAAGGGUGCGUAGACGGCAUGUUAAGUUCGUUGUUAAAGGCUCCGGCCUAACCGGAGUACCGCGAUGAAAACUGGCGUACUAGAGGGUGAGAGAGAGAAGUGGAAUUCCUGGAGUAGCGGUAAAAUGCGUGGAUCUCAGGAGGAACACCAAUGGCGAAGGCAGCUUCUUGGCUCAUCCUGACGUUGAGGCACGAAAGCGUGGGGAGCAAACAGG
RNAcentral lists this ribosomal RNA (252 nucleotides) under uncultured bacterium. Its description in RNAcentral is "partial 16S ribosomal RNA". It matches the Rfam family "Bacterial small subunit ribosomal RNA", at positions 524 to 776 of the family's 1533-position model. The record is from RNAcentral.